UACGUAGGGUGCGAGCGUUAAUCGGAAUUACUGGGCGUAAAGCGUGCGCAGGCGGUUUUGUAAGCCAGAUGUGAAAUCCCCGGGCUUAACCUGGGAAUGGCAUUUGGGACUGCAAGGCUGGAGUGCGGCAGAGGAGACUGGAAUUCCUGGUGUAGCAGUGAAAUGCGUAGAUAUCAGGAGGAACACCGAUGGCGAAGGCGGGUCUCUGGGCCGAUAUUGACGCUGAGGAGCGAAAGCGUGGGGAGCAAACAGG
RNAcentral lists this ribosomal RNA (253 nucleotides) under uncultured bacterium. RNAcentral's name for it is "partial 16S ribosomal RNA". It matches the Rfam family "Bacterial small subunit ribosomal RNA", at positions 524 to 776 of the family's 1533-position model. The record is from RNAcentral.